UACGUAGGGUGCAAGCGUUGUCCGGAAUUAUUGGGCGUAAAGAGCUCGUAGGCGGUUUGUCGCGUCGAAUGUGAAAACCCGGGGCUCAACCCCGGGCCUGCAUUCGAUACGGGCAGACUAGAGUUCGGUAGGGGAGUCUGGAAUUCCUGGUGUAGCAGUGAAAUGCGUAGAUAUCAGGAGGAAUACCGAUGGCGAAGGCAGGUCUCUGGGCUGACACUGACGCUCAUGCACGAAAGCGUGGGGAGCAAACAGG
Molecule: ribosomal RNA, 253 nt
Filed under: uncultured bacterium
Lineage: Bacteria
Description: partial 16S ribosomal RNA
Rfam family: Bacterial small subunit ribosomal RNA
Source: RNAcentral